This 434-nucleotide ribosomal RNA is filed under the name uncultured bacterium. RNAcentral describes it as "partial 16S ribosomal RNA". It matches the Rfam family "Bacterial small subunit ribosomal RNA", at positions 27 to 507 of the family's 1533-position model. The record is from RNAcentral.
GAACGAACGCUGGCGGCCGGCCUAACACAUGCAAGUCGAGCGAGGACUUCGGUCCUCGCGGCGGACGGGUGAGUAACGCGUGGGAACGUGCCCUUUGCUUCGGAAUAGCCCUGGGAAACUGGGAGUAAUACCGGAUGAGCCCUUUGGGGGAAAGAUUUAUCGGCGAAGGAUCGGCCCGCGUUGGAUUAGGUAGUUGGUGGGGUAAUGGCCUACCAAGCCGACGAUCCAUAGCUGGUUUGAGAGGAUGAUCAGCCACACUGGGACUGAGACACGGCCCAGACUCCUACGGGAGGCAGCAGUGGGGAAUCUUAGACAAUGGGGGAAACCCUGAUCUAGCCAUGCCGCGUGAGCGAUGAAGGCCUUAGGGUUGUAAAGCUCUUUCAGCUGGGAAGAUAAUGACGGUACCAGCAGAAGAAGCCCCGGCUAACUCCGUG